AUUGAACGCUGGCGGCAUGCUUUACACAUGCAAGUCGAACGGUAACAGCACUUCGGUGGCUGACGAGUGGCGAACGGGUGAGUAAUACAUCGGAACGUGCCUAGUAGUGGGGGAUAACUACUCGAAAGAGUAGCUAAUACCGCAUGAGAUCUAAGGAUGAAAGCAGGGGACCUUCGGGCCUUGCGCUACUAGAGCGGCUGAUGGCAGAUUAGGUAGUUGGUGGGAUAAAAGCUUACCAAGCCGACGAUCUGUAGCUGGUCUGAGAGGACGACCAGCCACACUGGGACUGAGACACGGCCCAGACUCCUACGGGAGGCAGCAGUGGGGAAUUUUGGACAAUGGGCGCAAGCCUGAUCCAGCAAUGCCGCGUGCAGGAUGAAGGCCUUCGGGUUGUAAGCUGCUUUUGUACGGAACGAAAAGCCCUCUUCUAAUACAGGAGGGUCAUGACGGUACCGUAAGAAUAAGCACCGGCUAACUACG
RNAcentral lists this ribosomal RNA (480 nucleotides) under uncultured bacterium. RNAcentral's name for it is "partial 16S ribosomal RNA". It matches the Rfam family "Bacterial small subunit ribosomal RNA", at positions 30 to 505 of the family's 1533-position model. The record is from RNAcentral.